CAUAGCUUAGUGCUAAUACUAAGUGAAUUCUGCCCAAUGAGUUUAAUGGCCGCAGUACCUUGACUGUGCAAAGGUAGCAUAAUAAUUUGGCUUUUAAUUGGGGUCGCGUAUGAAAGAAUAACGGGGUAAUUGUCUUUUAUAGGUAUUCUGAAUUUACUUUGUAGGUGAAAAUUCCUACAGAAAUUAUUAGACGAGAAGACCCUCAGAAUUUUUAUAAUUUUUGUUGGGGCGACAGUAGAAGAUAAACUUAUUUAAAUUUUAUACAAGACGAGAAAGAAUAAAUUACCUGAGGGAUAACAGCAUAAUUUUAAGAUUAUGACCUCGAUGUUGGAUUAGGAAUUAGUGGUAAGCAAUUACUAUUGUUCUGUUCGAACCCUACGUGAUCU
This 386-nucleotide ribosomal RNA is filed under the name Ranfurlya constanceae. RNAcentral's name for it is "partial large subunit ribosomal RNA". It matches the Rfam family "Archaeal large subunit ribosomal RNA", at positions 1906 to 2675 of the family's 2987-position model. Lineage: Eukaryota; Metazoa; Mollusca; Gastropoda; Stylommatophora; Charopidae. The record is from RNAcentral.